UCCAGACUCCUACGGGAGGCAGCAGUGGGGAAUAUUGCACAAUGGGGGAAACCCUGAUGCAGCGACGCCGCGUGAGUGAAGAAGUAUUUCGGUAUGUAAAGCUCUAUCAGCAGGGAAGAAAAUGACGGUACCUGAUUAAGAAGCCCCGGCUAACUACGUGCCAGCAGCCGCGGUAAUACGUAGGGGGCAAGCGUUAUCCGGAUUUACUGGGUGUAAAGGGAGCGUAGACGGCAGCGCAAGUCUGGAGUGAAAUGCCGGGGCCCAACCCCGGAACUGCUCUGGAAACUGUGAAGCUGGAGUGCAGGAGAGGUAAGCGGAAUUCCUGGUGUAGCGGUGAAAUGCGUAGAUAUCAGGAGGAACACCGGCGGCGAAGGCGGCUUACUGGACUGUAACUGACGUUGAGGCUCGAAGGCGUGGGGAGCAAACAGGAUUAGAUACCCGUGUA
This 445-nucleotide ribosomal RNA is filed under the name uncultured bacterium. Its description in RNAcentral is "bacterial SSU rRNA". It matches the Rfam family "Bacterial small subunit ribosomal RNA", at positions 330 to 792 of the family's 1533-position model. The record is from RNAcentral.